UACAGAGGUCUCGAGCGUUAUGCGGAAUCACUGGGCUUAAAGCGUGUGUAGGCGGAUUGGUAAGUACUUUGUGAAAUCCCACGGCUUAACCGUGGAACUGCUUGGUAUACUGCCAGUCUUGAGCCAGCUAGGGGCUACCGGAACAAAUGGUGGAGCGGUGAAAUGCGUAGAUAUCAUUUGGAACGCCAAUGGUGAAAACAGGUAGCUGGGGCUGUGCUGACGCUGAGACACGAAAGCCAGGGGAGCAAACGGG
Molecule: ribosomal RNA, 253 nt
Filed under: uncultured bacterium
Lineage: Bacteria
Description: partial 16S ribosomal RNA
Rfam family: Bacterial small subunit ribosomal RNA
Source: RNAcentral